UGGGGAAUAUUGCACAAUGGGCGAAAGCCUGAUGCAGCAACGCCGCGUGAGUGAUGAAGGUCUUCGGAUUGUAAAGCUCUGUCUUUUGGGACGAUAAUGACGGUACCAAAGAAGGAAGCCACGGCUAACUACGUGCCAGCAGCCGCGGUAAUACGUAGGUGGCGAGCGUUGUCCGGAUUUACUGGGCGUAAAGGGUGCGUAGGCGGAUGUUUAAGUGAGAUGUGAAAUACCCGGGCUUAACUUGGGUGCUGCAUUUCAAACUGGAUAUCUAGAGUGCAGGAGAGGAGAAUGGAAUUCCUAGUGUAGCGGUGAAAUGCGUAGAGAUUAGGAAGAACACCAGUGGCGAAGGCGAUUCUCUGGACUGUAACUGACGCUGAGGCACGAAAGCGUGGGUAGCAAACAGGAUUAGAUACCCUGGUAGUCCACGCCGUAAACGAUGAGUACUAGGUGUAGGAGGUAUCGACCCCUUCUGUGCCGCAGUAAACACAUUAAGUACUCCGCCUGGGAAGUACGAUCGCAAGAUUAAAACUCUAAAGUGAAUUGAC
RNAcentral lists this ribosomal RNA (545 nucleotides) under uncultured bacterium. RNAcentral's name for it is "partial 16S ribosomal RNA". It matches the Rfam family "Bacterial small subunit ribosomal RNA", at positions 355 to 914 of the family's 1533-position model. The record is from RNAcentral.